GCUGAAGAACGUAGCGAAAUGCGAUAAGUAAUGCGAAUUGCAGAAUUCCGUGAGUCAUCGAAUCUUUGAACGCACAUUGCGCCCUCUGGUAUUCCGGAGGGCAUGCCUGUCUGAGCGUCAUUGUCAACCCUCAAGCUCAGCUUGCUGUUGGGUCCCCGUCGUUGCUUUAACGGCGGACCCGAAAGGUAAUGGCAGAGUCCGUGAGACCCUAGACGCAGCGAGCUUCUAGCACGCGUCUGGACGUUUUUCGGGCUCGGUCUUAACUAGAUGAUAACUUCCGAUUGACCUCAGAUCAGGUAGGGAUACCCGCUGAACUUAAGCAUAUCAAUAAGCGGAGGA
RNAcentral lists this unclassified non-coding RNA (339 nucleotides) under soil metagenome. RNAcentral describes it as "partial contains 5.8S ribosomal RNA, internal transcribed spacer 2, and large subunit ribosomal RNA". The stretch from base 3 to 120 matches the Rfam family "5.8S ribosomal RNA", at positions 37 to 154 of the family's 154-position model. The record is from RNAcentral.